Molecule: ribosomal RNA, 427 nt
Filed under: uncultured bacterium
Lineage: Bacteria
Description: partial 16S ribosomal RNA
Rfam family: Bacterial small subunit ribosomal RNA
Source: RNAcentral
UGGGGAAUAUUGCACAAUGGGCGCAAGCCUGAUGCAGCCAUGCCGCGUGUAUGAAGAAGGCCUUCGGGUUGUAAAGUACUUUCAGCAGGGAGGAAGGCGAUAAGGUUAAUAACCUUGUCGAUUGACGUUACCCGCAGAAGAAGCACCGGCUAACUCCGUGCCAGCAGCCGCGGUAAUACGGAGGGUGCAAGCGUUAAUCGGAAUUACUGGGCGUAAAGCGCACGCAGGCGGUCUGUCAAGUCGGAUGUGAAAUCCCCGGGCUCAACCUGGGAACUGCAUUCGAAACUGGCAGGCUAGAGUCUUGUAGAGGGGGGUAGAAUUCCAGGUGUAGCGGUGAAAUGCGUAGAGAUCUGGAGGAAUACCGGUGGCGAAGGCGGCCCCCUGGACAAAGACUGACGCUCAGGUGCGAAAGCGUGGGGAGCAAACA